CACAUUUCGCAAGGCUCCUGGCUUUAUAACAGCGUGGCGCACGCGGUGACUCCUGGCAGAUUCCUCGGCUCGCUUGAGAGUGAGGAGGCAGAAGCUAAUCCUCCUAACAAUGAUUUUCCUCUUGCAGCAUUUCUUCCUGCUGGCCACAGACUUAGUGCUCGCCAUGACCCUUUCCUGCCUCUUUUAUGCCUUCGCGUGCGUUUCCAUCGCGUUUCUGACCUGCUGCGUUAUCAUCUUCUCCUUUGGCACCGUGGAGAGGAAUGUUGAUGUGAAAAGGAGAGCAAUUGUAAUUCUUGUGUCCAACAGUUCCAUUGGGAGGAUGUUUGCAAGGAACCUGGAUAAAGCAGGUUUCGGGGUGUCUGCUGCACAAUGGUCUGCUCAAGAGGCGAGGACAGUGACAGAAGAGUGCUCAUCGAACAAGGAGGUAGCCCAGCUCCAUCUGACUGAAGAUGAGUAUCAGAAGACAGUGAAAACCUUCAUAGAAAGCCACUUAUCCCUGAAAGGCAUGUACGGGAAGAUGAGGAAGCCGUCGAUCCUGAUAUGGGAUGAAGGGGCACCAGACACACGUGGGGUACCUGAGAGAAAAAUCUCCUGUGAGGGGAAGAAAACUUUCAAGGCUCCACGCAGGAACUGCUUAUUGCAGACAGCUCUGUGUGUCUCAAUCCUCUUUCACCCACUGACCUGUGUCUUGAGUUUCCUGAAGAGAAGCCCACAGCUGCUCUUGCCUCUGCUGAAGUCCAAAAACUGACAGCCAGGAAGGAAACCCACAGAGCACUACACAUUAGCACUGUCACACCACAAUGAAAAAAAGGAGCAUAGCUGGGAUCAGAAGUGACAAACUCCUGGCAGCAGAGGAUUAUGAGCAGUGACUUCAGUUGCAAGACAACAAAAAAAUGUGGAUGAAGACAGAAAACACCUUCAGAACCAUGACACAGGUGUGCAACUUCCUUGUAAGUCUAAUCUGUAAGGAAGAGAACACCAAGACACUGAAAUUUUGGGCUGUUCAUUACAAUGCUGUACUGUGCACACUGGGAUAUGCACAGAGGAAAAAACAUCUGAGGUGAAAGGAAAUAAAGGAAGAACUCUGCUGGGAAGCAAAAUGCUAGGGCUUGGAUUUUAUUAUCUAAAGCCACAACUCAGAACUGCCUGACUGAUGAUAAGAGAUGUCACCCUCCCAGGGAGCUGGAUCCAGGGAGGAAAAGGAAAGCUUUCAAAACAGCUUGUGUAAGACAUUAAACCAGCUUAAUAUCAAAUCAGACUGAAAACAAACAUUUUAAUUCUGUAACAUCAAAGCACUGAGAGAGAACAUGCUAAAGCAGAAAAUUCCUGAAUUAAAAGCUUGAGAUUUUAGUCUUUACACAUUUGGCAAAUAACCAGUUACAUGAAUAAUGCCAAACCCAUAUAUUCUGCAGAACAUCCCAGGAAAUGUUUAGUCAGAAUCCUGCUCUGUCAAUUCUCUCAGUGUAAAAUCCCAUUCUGUGCACAUAACCCUGUACAAUUUCAGCUGAUAACUGUUAUUUUCUCCUCCAAAAUAUGGCAGGGGACAUGUGUGGGCUGCUGCAUAGCUACUGCUUCUCUCCCAAAGUGACAUUCAAGCAAAGGAUGCUGCCUGCUUGUGUACACUGUUGUAUUCAUGGUCUGAAUUAGAGACAUUAUUGGAGACAUUAUGUGAGCAAAGCUCCUGAAGACCUCAGUGGAAGUUUUGCUGGCCCUAGGACUUGGAAAUGGUCUACAUUUGUUUAUAAAGCUUUCCAGUCCAUUGGGAUACAGGGAACUACUGUGUGCAAACAUAAAAUUAUGACUGUGAGGCAAUACCACCAUGAGAUAAAUUAUAACUGCACUUAAAAGUAUGUUUAACACAUAUUAGUUAUAUCGAACUAACACUGAAGUUAUAGACUGCUGAAGAUGACUAAGGGAUCUGAAUGCCCAGAUGCUUUUAAUUUGAGUGGGAAUGAGGGAUUUGAAUUCCUUAAAUAGCGUUGAAUGUUUCAUCACUAAUGUAUAACACAAAAAAAUGAAAGCAACUGGCUUUUCAAGCCUAAAAACCUGGCCAAAAUAUUCUGGCAAUGUCUUUUUAGACACAUUUCCCUAAGCAUACAGCCAUUAAAAUUAGAGAUUUAGAAAAUCCUGAAAGUAUUCCAAGUCUUGAUGAAUGUUUUCAGAAAAAAACCCCAACAAUUCCAACAUGUUUUUCAAUAGAUCACUUGGAUCCAUUUAAUAAAAAUGUAAUUGGGCUAUAAAAGUCUGCUAAAAGAAAAAUAGCUUUAGCACCAAAAUUCCAUAUCUUGCAACUCAGAACAGAAAGAACUGAUCAUCCAAGACCUGUUCUUUCACCUCAGUCUUAACUGCAAUACUUCCAUUUUUUGAACCUUUUUAAGAAAGUGCAGAAUUUGACUUCAAAUAGAACAGAUUUUCCUGGGAAAUACUGUAAAAUUAUUUCCCAACAGAACUGAAAUGUUAGUGGUGACAGAGAACCAGAGGGAAGCUGGUUACAUGAACACAUCCUUUUACCACUUUAAAUUAUGUUAAUAACUAAUCUACAAGCCAAUAUUAUUCCUUUAUAGAUGUCUGCAUGCCUGUCAAAAGAUACUAAGAGAGGAUCCCCUUGGAUUAAAGACUCUCCAGCACUGUCACUCCCUUAGUAACAAUAUCCCUCUAUUUUUGGGGACAUUUUUCUCCUAACUAUCCUCCCCUGAGCAGGGGUCAGACACAGGAACAGCUCCACUGAAGCCAGAGCAGGUAUUAGCCACCUCCACACUGGAUAUUGGGAGGUAUUUCAGACAGCCUGAGGUGAGAAACUUCCCUUCAUGUGUUUAUUGUAUUCAGGAAAGGACAAAGAAGGAGGAGAAGGCAGGGAAGCAAAAUAAUGAUUAGUGUAAUGGGAUUUGCUAUUCUUGUUAAUAGUUUAAUCAAUAUAAACAUACAGAACCCUCUGACGUGCUUGCCAUGCUCAAGUUUCUCUAUAAUUAGCUCAACACUCUUAAGCCAUGGUUAGUACCACCUGCAUUUCUACUGCUCACUUCUGCAACAAAGGAAAAGGCAGGACUGAGAUUUUCUGUGUCUAAAAUUCAGCCAUGCACAAGUGACCAUGCCUUGGUGUGUCCUGGCUGUGCUGGAUACUCCAGACACACAAUGUGGAUGUGACAGGUCUUGGGACAGGUGGGACUUGCUCAAUAUGAGCAGAAUGAUCGUAUGUGUGCUGUGCUCCAAGGCUCUGCUUGCACCAGACUUGCAGGAGGAGCCACACGUGCUUCUCACCUGCACUGGAGACAGCCCAACACUUCCAAGGCUUUGCAGAUCACACACAUCUGGAUCCUGUGCUUGUCACACAGUUUUUCCUUGGAGGAACAACUCAGCAGCAGCCCCUGAGCUGAGAGUUCAUCGGUGAGGUAGUGAAGAGAUGCAAAAGAUAGGAAGGCAAGAGACACAGCAGGAUGAGGCAGAACUGGUCCCAGGGUGGGACAGCACCAGGCCCAUGGAGGUCACUGCAGUGAGGCUGGUGGUGCCACGCAGGCUUUGCUGAGUUUUUUACUAGAGCAGUUGUAUCUGCAAUUUGUGCCAUGUCAAUCAGGGGAUGUUACUGGUGUCAUACCACAGGACACAACAUGUGUUCUAAGGAGCCACAGGCCUUCUUUACAAUCCUUUACCUUGAUUUUAGGUAGACAGAGAAAGAGAGUUUGUGUUAACUUUUGCUUUCAUCUCUCUAAACAGAUAGAGCCAAAAGCAUAUAUAAACAUCAUAUUGGUGUAUCAGUAUAAAGCUCAUUUAAAAGCCUUAAAACUGACUUUGAAAUAAGCUGAGACAAUCUCCAAAUUGACAAGUGCAAGGCAAGAGGGGAAAUAAUCUCUACAAAUGGCAGAUUUCCCUGAGGAACAGCUUUCUCCACUGCAAAGCUCGAAGAGGGGGGCACUCCUCCAUCCAAAUGCCUGUCCCCACAACCUCAGGAGAGGGAAGUUGUGCCAUUUAUAGCUGCUCAUCUGUGAGCAGACACUGCAUUGAAACUGUGACUGCCACAGGCAGCAUCUGUCCGAGCAGCCUGGGUCCCAGAGUACAGGAACUCGGAAAUCAUGAAGUCACAAGAUUAGUUUGCUAUAAUGUGUCUAAUUUAUUUUGGCAUUCCCUAGGGAUGAAAAUAAAUAGCAAAAAUGAGUAUGGGCAAUGCUGUUGUAUCAGCUCCGAGAAGCAUGAAAAACCACAACUGCAAGAAACAAUGUCUCAUGGGUAGUUAUUUUGGCCUUUUAAAUAUUUUUUUUUAAUAAGGGACAACUCACAAGUUUCUAUUGUGCCACUUGGAUGCACUUAGCACUGCACUGUGUCACAGGUCAGCUCGUGCCCAAGGCAAAGCCUGAAAUACCAUUCCUCCCUGGAGCGCCAAGAUCGUCACUGCACAAAUACGUUCAAACAGAUGCAAAUAUUGAUAACGCAGCGAUACGGGAAAAGCUCCAUGCGUCCAAGGAGAAGUUAAAUAACAAUCCUCUCUUGCCUAGGACCAGCAGAACAAACCUCAAACACUGAUCAAAACCUUAAAUACCCACUGCUAUGGCUGAAUUCUUGUUUCAGAAGGGAUCUCCCACUCCUCUGCCUCUUUUCCAGUGGAUGUGAGAACCUGUCCACCCCUACAGACAGGACAGUGAAACUGAUAGGAGCAUUACAGAGUAUGACCUGGGGAAAAGAGAAAGUCAAGGGGUCUGGAGUUCUAAUCCACUGCUCCAGACAGGCUUUGGAUAAUGCUGCUGACCAAUCAUCCCACAGCAUUUGAACUUGAGCAUUUCUGUUAAAGAAAUCUUCACAUUUUCAAGAGCUUGGGUUUAGGAAACCGAGAUCAAGCCAAUUAGACAUUGGUUGUCCCACCAAUUAGUCAGUUUUCCUAAUGAGGAGAAUUCAGUGAAACUGCUUUCCUGGGAGCUUGUUUAUAAAGCAAGUUCAGAAGUCAAGCAAAAAAUACAGUUACCUUGGUUAUUCCCUAUUUGUAGUACUACUGCUGCUGCUUGGAGAGCUGUCAGAAACCUGUUCUACAUUACUGCUCUCUAUCAGCCUCCAAAACCAUCACUGAGGGGCUCAGGCAAAGUGGAACAAAAUCAACAACUUGUACUUCACACACUAAUUAUGAAAUGAGUUUUAAGUUAGAUAUUGUGAUUUACUCCUUGCUUCAUGCACCCUCCUACCCUGUUCUUCUCUGUACUCACACAUUUAAUACUUGUUACCCUAGAAAGUUACACUUACACAUUCAAUGCUUCCAAGAUGGAAAACCUCUGGAUAACUAGAGUUGUACUGCUGAGAAAACAAGAUUCCCUUUCCAUUGAGAUGAUAUUACUGGCUCAGAUUUAGUUAAGUCAGCCUGGAUUUAUGCUGGCAGAUUAGUGUAAAUCAGCCCCAAUAGAAACAGAGGUCUAGAAUGGAUUUCCAGAGAUUAUUUAGUCCUCUGGUCUGGGUAGGGGAGGACAUGCAAAGGCCAUUCCUGACAGGGUCUAGCUUAUUUUGAAAGAGUCACAGAGCUCUCCCAGGAAAUCUGUUCCAGUCCUUCACACUCCCUUAGAAUCAGAUUAGUUACUAAAAAUAAAGUGCCCUGAUUUUCCCCGGAAGCAAUUUAGCCCAAAGAUUCUUGUCUUAACUGCCAGGGUCAGGAAGACCAAAUUAUUGCCUUUUUCCUUCAUAGCAGCUGACAGUGUUUUGGGGAGAAAUAGUCUUCCCCUCAGCCUCUCUCUCCUGAGAAUGAAACCCCCACCAUCUUCCCUAGCAAAUCAAGCCUUUUAGACCUUGGAUCAGUCUUCCUGAGCCUUUUCAUACUCAACCCAGUCCAGCUCAACUUUGAAGUACCCUAGGCAAAAGCAAAUGCUCCUGCUUGCUGGAUUAUUGCACUUUCCAUAGGGGGAACAGUCCUGCUCACUCACUUAAUGUGCCUUUUCCGUAACAGCACGGUGUUGUUUAUUGAUGAUCCGCUUGUGAGCCAUCAAAAUCUUUCAUCCUUAUUGAUAAGUCACCUACACAUGUAGCUGUUGGUCCCCAACCUGUCCUAACUACAGAAUAACCUAUAUGGAGAGUUUAUUGCAAUACAUAAAUCUGUUUCAGCAGAGGGACAAUGCACUGUUUCAGCUGCAUGGCAAGAUGAUUUUGGUGGGUUUUUUACCACCUCUCCACCUGCAAGCUUCAAACUGAAUUCUAAGCCUGCCCAGUGUGCUCACAGCUUUUCUAAAGUGUUGCCAGCUGCAAGUUUAAACUGCAUUCUCCCUCUUGCCUCAGCCAUCCCAUGAAAGACAAAAUAACCACCCCCUAAAACACAUCCCUAUCAAUUUUUCAACCAGUUUUGCAUCCAAAUAUUUUCAGCCAUAUCAUCAUUAUAAAGGCACAUGUGAAGCAGCUUCAGAACUUAAAUCUUUGAGUCUCGUGUCACAAAAAAAAAUUUUGCUGCCUGUUACUCAUCCCCUCAAUUUCUUUUAGGUGCUCUCCAAUAGUUUGGUUAUUUGUUCCAGUGUUUUUCCAGGAACUAAAGGUAAGUUGGCAGGUCUGUAAUUCUAGACCUGCUUGUUAGCACCACUUUUGGACCUACAGCUCAAACCUGCACUACUGGGCUUUGCUCCAACAGACCACUUUAGCCCAUAUUUAAUUAAGAGGGAGAGACAUCUGUGGCUGUAGAGUGGUUGAGUCACAUGCUUAUUGCUACACAUGUGCUUGGAUGUUUUUCUGGUUCCUAAGAAUAGAUUCAUAUAAAAAAACAAACAAAAAAACCCAACACACUAAACCCAAACAAAACAGAGAUGUAUUUUUAUACAAUGCUUACAGCUUUAAGAAUGGAAAUAGCAAGAAAUACUAAACAUUGAUUUUUCACUGGUCCUAGGAGAUCAUUCUCCAAUGCUCUGUGAUCAUCUCCACUAUGGUGACUUCUCCUGCUGCUUCAUUCUCUUGUUUUGUUAAAUCUCUCUUAAAUCUCCCAUAAUACCUAUUACAUUAUGCCUCCAGCACAUUCUUCAGCCUUAUUAGUUCUUCCUUUAAGGGAGAUAAUGAAUUGAUUAGAUGUCACUUAAUCUGUCAUGAACUGCUAUUGACACCUCUUGCAGCAGCUUUCUGUGCAUUCCAAGGGUGUUUUUAUGCUUCUGAAAGAGAGAGUACUGACAGCUCUGGAGAGCAAGACUGAUCUCACUCCCAGGCCAGCUCUGUCCAGAGCAGCUCAAAUCAACAGAGCUCUUAAAUCUCCUGACUUCAGGAUUACCUCAAGCAACAUCCCAGAAGGAAACAGCACAUUGAAAAUGGUCAAAGGACCAGCACACAGCAACAGAGCUCUCCCAGACUCCUCUGCUGCUCCCCAUUGUCCCCUCCAACCCCUCCUGAUCCCUGCCUAGGGCAGUUUGCUUAAACACAGCCCUUGAUCUCGUGCUGCUGAAGCAAAUGAACCACUUACAGCAGUGGAGUGAGCUGGACUGCCCUCCCCACUGGUAAUUCCUCAGCUCUGCCAGUCCAAUGGAUAAUUGUCAUUGGAACAGAGUCAAUGGAUCAUCAGGUGCUGAGUCCCAGCCCCUAACUCCCAUCAGUUUUGCUCUGCUGGGUUUUCCUUCUUUCUGUUGCUGCUUGUUCCUCCCUUCCAAGCCCAGGAUGGAUGUGGUCAGUCAGGUUUUCUUCCACACCUCUUCUAUCUAAUUUCUUAACAUUCUCUCCACAUGAAUCAUUUUCCCAGAUCAGCAAAGAGACCUCAAAGCACACUGCUUAUUCCAGACUAAAUUUAUCUUAUGCAUACAGAAUUGGGGAGGAAUUCCAGCUACCAGAGCUCUCUUGCAAGCUAAUUAUUCUUCAAAGAAGUUUUAGACAGUCCUGGGGAGCAUCUAACUAUUGAUUUUCUACUCUGUAUAAUUUCCCUGCAAAAUGUAAUCAUUCUCCUCCUUUCUCAUACUGUCAUUUGUCUCUCAGAACAACCUGGGAACAAUAAAAUAGUGGGAUAGAGGGCACCAAGAAGGGCACCAUAAAAAAAGAUAUAUCUCUGUGCAAGCAGGGGCUGUAAAAGCAAACCCAAGAAAUGUCUGUAGACCUUGUUUAAUAUUCAUCAGCCAGUGUAGGGUAUAACUGAAACCCAAAUGUAACUGUUCUGAAAAUUCAGGCUAGAAGGAAAUCAAAUGGAGACAGCGCUCUCAGUGUGCUGCCAUUUCAGAGUUUCUCAUUUCAGGAUUUCUAGAAAAAAUGUACCACAGAGGGAAAUGUUAUUGAAUACAUUGGUUGCUUACAAAUGGCUACAUUUUUAUAGAAAUACACUUACUGGGGAAAAAAAAAAAAAAAAAGUGG
Molecule: non-coding RNA, 8268 nt
Organism: Cyanistes caeruleus (blue tit)
Lineage: Eukaryota; Metazoa; Chordata; Aves; Passeriformes; Paridae
Source: RefSeq, a predicted model, not a curated record